RNAcentral lists this ribosomal RNA (253 nucleotides) under uncultured bacterium. RNAcentral's name for it is "partial 16S ribosomal RNA". It matches the Rfam family "Bacterial small subunit ribosomal RNA", at positions 524 to 776 of the family's 1533-position model. The record is from RNAcentral.
GACAGAGGGUGCAAACGUUGCUCGGAAUUACUGGGCGUAAAGCGCGUGUAGGCUGACCGGAAAGUCGGGCGUGAAAUCCCUGAGCUCAACUCAGGAACUGCACUCGAAACUCCCGGUCUAGAGUGGUGGAGAGGGAAGUGGAAUUCCUGGUGUAGAGGUGAAAUUCGUAGAUAUCAGGAGGAACACCAGUGGCGAAGGCGGCUUCCUGGACACCAACUGACGCUGAGACGCGAAAGCGUGGGGAGCAAACAGG